UUUUAUUUCUAGGCGUUACGGUAGCAGAAGUGGCGUUUGUAUCGGCGAAUAUCAAAUUAAUUCCACCAAGCAGGAAAUGAGGAAACAAACAACGUUUGGGAUGACAGGGUCAUGUAUGUUCUUACAGCUUGACGACGAUGUAACAAUCUUCAGCGACAGGACCUGACCUUAUGCUGAACAGACGUUCGAAAGCAACAACCAUUGUAUCACAUGGAGCAGGCCGGCAAAAACAUGCUUCCAGAAAACGAAUUGUUUUAGAAAAAAUAUAUUACCCCAUUGAAACAAAGUUCCUUGAUUUAUUAUAAAUUCAAUAUACUAGUCAUGGUCUCCGGGUCUCUAUUAAUAAAAAUAUUUAGAACUAAA
Molecule: long non-coding RNA, 363 nt
Filed under: Haliotis rubra (blacklip abalone)
Lineage: Eukaryota; Metazoa; Mollusca; Gastropoda; Lepetellida; Haliotidae
Description: uncharacterized LOC124253280, transcript variant X2
Source: RNAcentral